Delphinapterus leucas (beluga whale) is the source of this 418-nucleotide non-coding RNA. NCBI's taxonomy places the organism in Eukaryota, Metazoa, Chordata, Mammalia, Artiodactyla, Monodontidae. The record is from RefSeq and is a predicted model, not a curated record.
CGCGCCACGCGCAACAAAGCUGAGCGCGGGAGGCGACGCCCACUGACCGCGGUGGGCGCGUGCUCCCGGCAGGCUGUGCGCGACCGCGAACCUUCCACCCGCGCCUGAGGAGCUCACUGCAGCUGAGAGCGCGGGAGGCCGCCUCGCGAGUCCCAAACAGGUUUCUAAAACAACGAACUUAAUGAGAGAACAGCCACCACAGACCUGCGCUCUGUCAGCAAGAAGCCUGAGUUCUCGGAGGUGCAGUUAAUGUCUCAGGGUCCACGAUGCUCACAAAUGCUAGAAAUCUAAGGUCAGGAAGGAGCUCGGCGACGCUCGCCCGGGUCUCCAGCAGCGAGCGGCCGACGCUCCUGCCGGAAGCAGCCGGGACACGGCGGCCGCGCGUGUUCUCCAGGCCUCCCCGCCCUCCUCCCCCCCU